This 409-nucleotide ribosomal RNA is filed under the name uncultured bacterium. Its description in RNAcentral is "bacterial SSU rRNA". It matches the Rfam family "Bacterial small subunit ribosomal RNA", at positions 976 to 1381 of the family's 1533-position model. The record is from RNAcentral.
UAGCCUUGACAUUGAUAGAAUCUGAUAGAGAUAUCGGAGUGCCUGCUUGCAGGAACUUGAAAACAGGUGCUGCACGGCUGUCGUCAGCUCGUGUCGUGAGAUGUUGGGUUAAGUCCCGCAACGAGCGCAACCCUCGUCGUUAGUUGCUAACAGUUCGGCUGAGCACUCUAGCGAGACUGCCUUCGCAAGGAGGAGGAAGGUGAGGACGACGUCAAGUCAUCAUGGCCCUUAUGGCUAGGGCUACACACGUGCUACAAUGGGGCGUACAGAGAGUUGCGAUACCGCGAGGUGGAGCCAAUCUCAUAAAGCGUCUCUCAGUUCGGAUUGAUCUCUGCAACUCGAGAUCAUGAAGCUGGAAUCACUAGUAAUCGUAGAUCAGCAAUGCUACGGUGAAUACGUUCCCGGGUCU